Molecule: long non-coding RNA, 518 nt
Filed under: Equus caballus (horse)
Lineage: Eukaryota; Metazoa; Chordata; Mammalia; Perissodactyla; Equidae
Description: lncRNA (ENSECAG00000053826.1)
Source: RNAcentral
CUAUGAGUAUCACGGGUGACCAGGAUUUUGUCUCAGGGUCAGCUAAUAUUGAGCAGAGCCAUGUAGCUAGGAUAUGGAGGCACCACUUCCUGAGACUAUUCAGAGAGAAGCACUGGGAAGAGAGAGUAGACAUGCCCAGAAAAUAUCUGGAUAUGUAGGACUCAGGAAAGUGGUUUGGGCUGGAAAGAGAAAUUUGGGAGACAAAGAUGGUAAAUAACAUCACCCUGAGAAAGCCUCUGGAGGACAUAUUAAAAUAGAUUGCUUCAUCUUCAACAAUCGUCUUGAAGAUAAAUCCUGUUCAAGCAGACCCUGGAUUCAAGUUUGUGGUGUUUAAUUCUUUUACAGAUUGAUGAAUUUGAUCUGCUGAUAUUUUGUUGAGGAUUCUUGUGUGUGUGUUAAUCAGGGCUAUUGAUUGGCCCUGAGCUAACGCCUCUGCCAAUUUCCCUCUAUUUUUUGUAUGUGGGUCACCCGCACAGCAUGGCUUGAUGAGUAGUGUAGGUCUGCGCCUGGGAUCCACA